This 91-nucleotide transfer RNA is filed under the name Bdellovibrionales bacterium. RNAcentral's name for it is "tRNA-Leu". It matches the Rfam family "tRNA". From Rfam's summary of the family: Transfer RNA (tRNA) molecules are approximately 80 nucleotides in length. Lineage: Bacteria; Pseudomonadati; Bdellovibrionota; Bdellovibrionia; Bdellovibrionales. The record is from RNAcentral.
GCCCGAGUGGUGGAAUUGGUAGACACACAGGACUUAAAAUCCUGCGGUUUUUAUUGAGACUGUGCCAGUUCAAGUCUGGCCUCGGGCACCA